GCGCCUCUCGUAGGCGUUUCGAAAAUGAAUCAAAACUUUCAACAACGGAUCUCUUGGUUCUGGCAUCGAUGAAGAACGCAGCGAAAUGCGAUAAGUAAUGUGAAUUGCAGAAUUCAGUGAAUCAUCGAAUCUUUGAACGCACAUUGCGCCCGCCAGUAUU
RNAcentral lists this ribosomal RNA (160 nucleotides) under Trichoderma velutinum. Its description in RNAcentral is "5.8S ribosomal RNA". The stretch from base 34 to 160 matches the Rfam family "5.8S ribosomal RNA", at positions 1 to 127 of the family's 154-position model. Rfam says of the family: 5.8S ribosomal RNA (5.8S rRNA) is a component of the large subunit of the eukaryotic ribosome. It is transcribed by RNA polymerase I as part of the 45S precursor that also contains 18S and 28S rRNA. The record is from RNAcentral. Lineage: Eukaryota; Fungi; Ascomycota; Sordariomycetes; Hypocreales; Hypocreaceae.